AACGAACGCUGGCGGCAGGCUUAACACAUGCAAGUCGAACGCUCGUAGCAAUACGGGAGUGGCGGACGGGUGAGUAACGCGUGGGAACGUGCCCUGAGGUACGGAAUAACUGAGGGAAACUUCAGCUAAUACCGUAUGAGCCCCGAGAGGGGGAAAGAUUUAUCGCCUUGGGAGCGGCCCGCGUCGGAUUAGCUAGUUGGUGGGGUAAUGGCCUACCAAGGCUACGAUCCAUAGCUGGUCUGAGAGGAUGAUCAGCCACACUGGGACUGAGACACGGCCCAGACUCCUACGGGAGGCAGCAGUAGGGAAUCUUGCGCAAUGGGCGAAAGCCUGACGCAGCCAUGCCGCGUGAAUGAUGAAGGUCUUAGGAUUGUAAAAUUCUUUCACCGGGGACGAUAAUGACGGUACCCGGAGAAGAAGCCCCGGCUAACUUCGUGCCAGCAGCCGCGGU
This 451-nucleotide ribosomal RNA is filed under the name uncultured bacterium. Its description in RNAcentral is "bacterial SSU rRNA". It matches the Rfam family "Bacterial small subunit ribosomal RNA", at positions 29 to 521 of the family's 1533-position model. The record is from RNAcentral.